Molecule: ribosomal RNA, 492 nt
Filed under: uncultured bacterium
Lineage: Bacteria
Description: partial 16S ribosomal RNA
Rfam family: Bacterial small subunit ribosomal RNA
Source: RNAcentral
AGUGAACGCUGGCGGUAGGCCUAACACAUGCAAGUCGAACGGCAGCACAGUAAGAGCUUGCUCUUACGGGUGGCGAGUGGCGGACGGGUGAGGAAUACAUCGGAAUCUACUUUUUCGUGGGGGAUAACGUAGGGAAACUUACGCUAAUACCGCAUACGACCUACGGUUGAAAGCAGGGGAUCUUCGGACCUUGCGCGAUUGAAUGAGCCGAUGUCGGAUUAGCUAGUUGGCGGGGUAAAGGCCCACCAAGGCGACGAUCCGUAGCUGGUCUGAGAGGAUGAUCAGCCACACUGGAACUGAGACACGGUCCAGACUCCUACGGGAGGCAGCAGUGGGGAAUAUUGGACAAUGGGCGCAAGCCUGAUCCAGCCAUACCGCGUGGGUGAAGAAGGCCUUCGGGUUGUAAAGCCCUUUUGUUGGGAAAGAAAAGCAGCAGGUUAAUACCUCGCUGUUCUGACGGUACCCAAAGAAUAAGCACCGGCUAACUUCGUG